CUUGGUUGCUUUGCUGCAACUUUUUGCUCUUGCCUCUUUGAAAUAGGAGCCUUCCCCAGCAUGCCUUUUUUCAUCAGGAGACAUUUUACAUUCUCGAUAAGCCUGGAUAAGGCUCUUUUGGAAGCUAGAGGCUGUUGCUGUUUCUCUUGCAUCUAGGUUAAUGAGGGUUUCCCUGAAGCCAUAAAGAAGGAGGGGAUUGCCUUAGAGCUACAAAUCAACAUCUUUCGUAACUAAAGCUGAGUGAGGCUGCAUCCCUGAGCCUUGCGUCCGUAUAGCGAGGAUACUGAUCUCCGUCUGAGCUUGACUCAAAUUCACCUGGACGUUAGUUUUCCUCUGACCUGGGGCUUUCUAGGCCUACUUUCCAGGACUCAACAGCACCUCCUGGCUUCUAGAGCUAUGCGUACACAGCGCUCGUGUGUGGUGGUUCUGAUUUAUUUAUUUAUUGUUAAGCCACAUGCGCGCACAGCGCCUGUCUGUAACUCACAAAACAGAAGCAACACAUCUUUGCCGACGGGCUGCUCACGUUAAGCACCCCGAAGCAGCUCGACGGUGCCCUGCACCCUGUCCUCCCUGCCUCCCUCCCUCGGCCGCUCCUGGGGCGCCCCCUGACGGGCACGGCGCCGGGCACAGCCCUGCGCGCUCAGCACCGCUCCCGAGCCGGAGGGACGUGUGUCCUGCGGGGAGGGAAUCGGGGGACGGGGAUAUAAUGUGCUCGUCCUGCUCUUUCACACCUCCCCCCCCGAGCAGGCAUUAAGACGGUGGUUAAGGGAGCGUUUCUUGGUAUGGGACCUGCAAGGGGAUGAAGCAGUAUGUUUGUUGUACCUAAAGGGAAACGUUGUGCUACGACAGCUAUAAAGCUGUUCUGUAUUACUUUGAGGUUCUGAUUAAACUGACAGAACGAACAGUUCCCGUAAAUUCUUUUCCAAAAGAAAAUUCUUUAUUAACUGUAAUUCUGUGAACACAAAGGCUCCUGGUGUUGCUGUAAAUGUGCAAUUCAUCUAAUAGAGCGUUUGCAAGUGGUAAGUAAAUCAACUGAUUUCCAUUGUUCUUCUGUUGCUAAUAAAUCAUUUUCCUGAAAGAC
Oxyura jamaicensis (ruddy duck) is the source of this 1081-nucleotide long non-coding RNA. RefSeq lists it as uncharacterized. The record is from RefSeq and is a predicted model, not a curated record. The transcript is spliced from 2 exons. Lineage: Eukaryota; Metazoa; Chordata; Aves; Anseriformes; Anatidae.